Molecule: long non-coding RNA, 440 nt
Filed under: Chinchilla lanigera (long-tailed chinchilla)
Lineage: Eukaryota; Metazoa; Chordata; Mammalia; Rodentia; Chinchillidae
Description: lncRNA (ENSCLAG00000029075.1)
Source: RNAcentral
GCGGAUGGGACUUCGGUGGACGUGGCCGUGGCCCCGUGGGAUCGCUUUUCUUUCCCAGGGAAGGGCAGGAAGUGGACAGGAACCGGCCUCAUGCGUGGGCCCUGGGACAGCUGGGACCCCUGGCAUGGCCGUGCUCGUCCCUGUCCUGUCUGCCACCGCCCUCGUGGCUGCGAUUUACAGAAUCUCCAGGCGGCAGCUGCUUGCAGCCAGCACGCCGGUGCGAUGGCUCUGAAUUCAUCCCGGGCAGAGCUUCGUCCAAGGGGCGACUGUUUGUAUGAAGACAGACGUGGAUAUGGAUUUCAAGGUGCUGGAUUUGUGCUGACUUGGUCCAAAACCCAGCCGCAUCUGGUUAUGUCUGGUGUCGACGGCUCCAAAAAUGUCCUGAAUUCCAGACAACCUCUUGGGCUUCGAAAUAAAAGUCAUUAAUCCUGCAUUUGAAU